This 253-nucleotide unclassified non-coding RNA is filed under the name uncultured Flavobacteriaceae bacterium. RNAcentral's name for it is "contains 16S-23S intergenic spacer region". It matches the Rfam family "Bacterial small subunit ribosomal RNA", at positions 524 to 776 of the family's 1533-position model. Lineage: Bacteria; Pseudomonadati; Bacteroidota; Flavobacteriia; Flavobacteriales; Flavobacteriaceae. The record is from RNAcentral.
UACGGAGGGUGCAAGCGUUGUCUGGGAUCAUUGGGUUUAAAGGGUCCGUAGGCGGGAUAAUAAGUCAGUGGUGAAAGUCUGCAGCUCAACUGUAGAAUUGCCAUUGAUACCGUUGUUCUUGAGUGUUUAUGAAGUGGUUAGAAUAUGUAGUGUAGCGGUGAAAUGCAUAGAUAUUACAUAGAAUACCGAUUGCGAAGACAGAUCACUAAUAAAAUACUGACGCUGAUGGACGAAAGCGUAGGUAGCGAACAGA